RNAcentral lists this ribosomal RNA (495 nucleotides) under uncultured bacterium. RNAcentral's name for it is "partial 16S ribosomal RNA". It matches the Rfam family "Bacterial small subunit ribosomal RNA", at positions 28 to 507 of the family's 1533-position model. The record is from RNAcentral.
GACGAACGCUGGCGGCGUGCCUAAUACAUGCAAGUAGAACGCUGAAGGCGGAGCUUGCUUCUCUGGAUGAGUCGCGAACGGGUGAGUAACGCGUAGGUAACCUGCCUGGUAGCGGGGGAAAACUAUUGGAAACGAUAGCUAAUACCGCAUAAUAGUGGAUGUGGCGUGACAUUGGCUUGAAAGGUGCAGUUGAGGCACUACCAGACGGCCUUGCGUUGUGUUAGCUGGUUGGUGGGGUAACGGGUCACCAAGGGGACGCUACAUAGCCGACCUGCGAGGGGUAUCGGCCACGCUGGGACUGAGACACGGCCCAGACUCCUACGAGAGGCAGCAGUAGUGCAUCAGCGGCAAUGGACGGAAGUCUGACCGUGCAACGCCGCGUGAGGGAGGAAGGUUUUCGGAUCGUAGAGCUCUGUUGUAAGGGAAGAACGAGUGUGAGAGUGGAAAGUUCACACUGUGACGGUAUCUUAACAGAAAGCGACGGCUAACUACGUG